RNAcentral lists this ribosomal RNA (569 nucleotides) under Burkholderia sp. JVD5B. Its description in RNAcentral is "bacterial SSU rRNA". It matches the Rfam family "Bacterial small subunit ribosomal RNA", at positions 240 to 801 of the family's 1533-position model. Lineage: Bacteria; Pseudomonadati; Pseudomonadota; Betaproteobacteria; Burkholderiales; Burkholderiaceae. The record is from RNAcentral.
AUUAGUUAGUUGGUGGGGUAAAGGCCUACCAAGGUGACGAUCUGUAGCUGUUCUGAGAGGACGUCCAUCCCCACUGGGAUUGAGACACGUCCCAGAUUCUUACGGGAGGCACCAGUGGGGAAUUUUGGCCAAUGGGGGAAACCUUGAUCCAGCAAUGCCGCGUGUGUGAAGAAGUCCUUCGGGUUGUAAACCACUUUUGUCCGGAAAGAAAACACCGUGGUUAAUACCCGUGGUGGAUGACGGUACCGGAAGAAUAAGCCCCGGCUAAUUACGUGCCACCAGCCGCGGUAAUCCGUAGGGUGCAAGCGUUAUUCGGAAUUACUGGGGGUAAAGCGUGCGCAGGCGGUCCGUUAAGACAGAUGUGAAAUCCCCGGGUUUACCCUGGGAACUCCAUUUGUGACUGGCGGGUUAGAGUAUGGCAGAGGGGGGUAGAAUUCCACGGGUAGCAGUGAAAUGCGUAGAGAUGGGGAGGAAUCCCGAUGGCGAAGGCAGCCCCCUGGGCCAAUACUGCCGUUCAUGCAGGAAAGCGUGGGGAGCAACCAGGAUUAGAUCCCCUGUUAUUCCACCCC